GUGCUCUCUUUGGGAGCACAUAUACUAAAAUUGAAAUGAUAGCUUGGCCUCUGAGCAACGAUGAUAUGCAUAUUUGUGGAGUGUUCCAUAUUUUU
This is a small nuclear RNA of Dipodomys ordii (Ord's kangaroo rat), 95 nucleotides long. Lineage: Eukaryota; Metazoa; Chordata; Mammalia; Rodentia; Heteromyidae. The record is from Ensembl.